GCACUGCCGAAGAGUCCCAGAAUAGGACGAAACGGCUGUUCAGUGC
Molecule: non-coding RNA, 46 nt
Filed under: Schistosoma margrebowiei
Lineage: Eukaryota; Metazoa; Platyhelminthes; Trematoda; Strigeidida; Schistosomatidae
Source: RNAcentral